Molecule: ribosomal RNA, 330 nt
Filed under: uncultured eukaryote
Lineage: Eukaryota
Description: partial 18S ribosomal RNA
Rfam family: Eukaryotic small subunit ribosomal RNA
Source: RNAcentral
CCCUUAGAUGUUCUGGGCCGCACGCGCGCUACACUGAUGCAUUCAACGAGUCUAAAACCUGGUCUGAUAGGGCUGGGUAAUCUUUUGAAUGUGCAUCGUGAUUGGGAUAGAUGAUUGCAAUUCUUCAUCUUCAACGAGGAAUGCCUAGUAAACGCAAGUCAUUAGCUUGCAUUGAUUACGUCCCUGCCCUUUGUACACACCGCCCGUCGCUCCUACCGAUUGAAUGUUCCGAUGAAUACCAUGGACUGAGAGUAUGAAUGGGUUCGCCUAUUUCUGCUUCUCGGGAAGUGGAGUAAAUCUUAACAUUUAGAGGAAGGAGAAGUCGUAACA